GAUCUUCCCCAACCCAGGCAGGAAUCAAACCCAUGUGCUUCCUGUGGCUCCUGAACUGCAGUGGGUUGAAUGGUGGCCCCCAGAAGAUAUGUCCAUGUCAAGUUCCUGGAACCCGUGAAUUGAUGUUAUUUGGAAAAAAGGUUCUUUGCAGAUGUCAUUAAGUUAAGGAUCUCAGGCUAAGGAUAUCUUUUUGAAUUACCUGGGUGAAUCCUAAGUCCAAUGAUGCUGGAAUGGAGGCAUGAAAUGGAAUGUGUCAUUUCAGAGAGGGAUACAGCUUCCAGGCUUUCUUAUAUUUAGCAUGAAGCAUUUAUAUUCUGAGCAAGAAGACGUGAUCAGAGCUUGCUGUGGGAGGCUGUGGAAAUUCUUUAGGCAAUUCAGUCAUGUAUCAGCAGAGCUCACAUGCAGCUCUUGUGCGCUGGCACAGCUGUAUGGAUUGUUUAUGGCUGGCAUCUGUUCUAAUAGGCCUUUCUGACUC
This is a long non-coding RNA of Bubalus bubalis (water buffalo), 475 nucleotides long. RefSeq lists it as uncharacterized. The record is from RefSeq and is a predicted model, not a curated record. The transcript has 3 exons. NCBI's taxonomy places the organism in Eukaryota, Metazoa, Chordata, Mammalia, Artiodactyla, Bovidae.